This 250-nucleotide ribosomal RNA is filed under the name uncultured Staphylococcus sp. RNAcentral's name for it is "partial 16S ribosomal RNA". It matches the Rfam family "Bacterial small subunit ribosomal RNA", at positions 90 to 334 of the family's 1533-position model. The record is from RNAcentral. Lineage: Bacteria; Bacillati; Bacillota; Bacilli; Caryophanales; Staphylococcaceae.
CGUUAGCGGCGGACGGGUGAGUAACACGUAGGUAACCUACCUAUAAGACUGGGAUAACUUCGGGAAACCGGAGCUAAUACCGGAUAAUAUUUCGAACCGCAUGGUUCAAUAGUGAAAGACGGUUUUGCUGUCACUUAUAGAUGGAUCCGCGCCGCAUUAGCUAGUUGGUAAGGUAACGGCUUACCAAGGCAACGAUGCGUAGCCGACCUGAGAGGGUGAUCGGCCACACUGGAACUGAGACACGGUCCAG